CACGUAGGGUGCAAGCGUUGUCCGGAUUCAUUGGGCGUAAAGGGCUAGUAGGCGGCUUAGCAAGUCGGGUGUGAAAACUUCAGGCUCAACCUGGAGCGGCCAUCCGAUACUGCUAUGGCUAGAGUCCGGUAGGGGACCACGGAAUUCCUGGUGUAGCGGUGAAAUGCGCAGAUAUCAGGAGGAACACCGGUGGCGAAGGCGGCGCUCUGGACCGAGACUGACGCUGAGGCGCGAAAGCGUGGGGAGCAAACAGG
Molecule: ribosomal RNA, 254 nt
Filed under: uncultured bacterium
Lineage: Bacteria
Description: partial 16S ribosomal RNA
Rfam family: Bacterial small subunit ribosomal RNA
Source: RNAcentral